RNAcentral lists this ribosomal RNA (505 nucleotides) under uncultured bacterium. RNAcentral describes it as "partial 16S ribosomal RNA". It matches the Rfam family "Bacterial small subunit ribosomal RNA", at positions 28 to 507 of the family's 1533-position model. The record is from RNAcentral.
GACGAACGCUGGCGGCGUGCCUAAUACAUGCAAGUAGAACGCACAGUUUAUACCGUAGCUUGCUACACCAUAGACUGUGAGUUGCGAACGGGUGAGUAACGCGUAGGUAACCUGCCUGGUAGCGGGGGAUAACUAUUGGAAACGAUAGCUAAUACCGCAUAAUAUUGAUUAUUGCAUGAUAAUUGAUUGAAAGAUGCUAUUGCAUCACUACCAGAUGGACCUGCGUUGUAUUAGCUAGUAGGUGAGGUAACGGCUCACCUAGGCGACGAUACAUAGCCGACCUGAGAGGGUGAUCGGCCACACUGGGACUGAGACACGGCCCAGACUCCUACGGGAGGCAGCAGUAGGGAAUCUUCGGCAAUGGACGAAAGUCUGACCGAGCAACGCCGCGUGAGUGAAGAAGGUUUUCGGAUCGUAAAGCUCUGUUGUAAGAGAAGAACGGGUGUGUGAGUGGAAAGUUCACACUGUGACGGUAUCUUACCAGAAAGGGACGGCUAACUACGUG